Molecule: ribosomal RNA, 492 nt
Filed under: uncultured bacterium
Lineage: Bacteria
Description: partial 16S ribosomal RNA
Rfam family: Bacterial small subunit ribosomal RNA
Source: RNAcentral
AGUGAACGCUGGCGGUAGGCCUAACACAUGCAAGUCGAACGGCAGCACAGUAAGCGCUUGCUCUUACGGGUGGCGAGUGGCGGACGGGUGAGGAAUACAUCGGAAUCUACUUUUUCGUGGGGGAUAACGUAGGGAAACUUACGCUAAUUCCGCAUACGACCUACGGGUGAAAGCAGGGGAUCUUCGGACCUUGCGCGUUUGAAUGAGCCGAUGUCGGAUUAGCUAGUUGGCGAGGUAAAGGCCCACCAAGGCGACGAUCCGUAGCUGGUCUGAGAGGAUGAUCAGCCACACUGGAACUGAGACACGGUCCAGACUCCUACGGGAGGCAGCAGUGGGGAAUAUUGGACAAUGGGCGCAAGCCUGAUGCAGCCAUACCGCGUGAGUGAAGAAGGCCUUCGGGUUGUAAAGCCCUUUUGUUGGGAAAGAAAAGCAGCAGGUUAAUACCCCGCUGUUCUGACGGUACCCAAAGAAUAAGCACCGGCUAACUUCGUG